RNAcentral lists this ribosomal RNA (791 nucleotides) under Tricolus sp. B BHJ-2012. RNAcentral describes it as "eukaryotic LSU rRNA". It matches the Rfam family "Eukaryotic large subunit ribosomal RNA", at positions 406 to 944 of the family's 3401-position model. Lineage: Eukaryota; Metazoa; Arthropoda; Insecta; Coleoptera; Curculionidae. The record is from RNAcentral.
CGUUUAGGGGUAAACCUGAGAAACCCGAAAGGUCGAAGGGAGAAAUUCAAUCGCGUCUCGCGGACGACGUCGGAAGUCAUUGCGACGGCGAUACGUUCGCGCGUAUCGUUCGCGCGUUUCGUUCGACGAGUCGAUAGCGAACGCGUGCACUUUUCUCCUGGUAGGACGUCGCGAUCCGUUGGGUGUCGAUCUACGAUUCGCGGUGGAGCCCGUUGGCGGCGUUUCGGCGCUCGUCGACGGACCCGCGAUAUCCGAUCGACUCUCCCGACGGUACACGAACGGUUGGGGGCCGCUUUUCAGCGUCCGACCGAUGGCAAGCGCGCCGCGGACUGUCGGCGAUCGGACCUAGCGCCGAUUCCGACACCCGGUGACUGUUGGCCGUCGUGUUCUCGGACAGACCCCCUUUUCGAACGAAAACCGAUCUGCGACGCUAUAGCUUUGGGUAAUUUCAGGACCCGUCUUGAAACACGGACCAAGGAGUCUAGCAUGUACGCGAGUCAUUGGGAACCGAUAAACCUAAAGGCGAAAUGAAAGUGAAGAUCUUCCUCGCGAAGAUCGAGGGAAGAGGAGCGGUAUCGUCUCAAAAACGAUCCGUUUCGCAUUCCCGGGGCGUCUCGUUCUCAUUGCGAGAUGAGGCGCACCAAGAGCGUACACGCUGGGACCCGAAAGAUGGUGAACUAUGCCUGGUCAGGAUGAAGUCAGGGGAAACCCUGAUGGAGGUCCGUAGCGAUUCUGACGUGCAAAUCGAUCGUCGGAACUGGGUAUAGGGGCGAAAGACUAAUCGAACCAUC